GACAACACAACAAGCGACCGGACGGGGCAGGGGCGCUCCCCUGCGGGCCCCGGACGUGGAGACGCUCGAGUCAGGCUGACGCGCGCGCCGGGAACGAACUCUUGCGUGUGACUUGGGAUGACCGGAUGGGAUGAGUGAUGCCAGUGGCAGUGGGAGAGAGGAUGAGGAGAAACGGAAUGAGGAAGUGCGCUCCUGUGUUCGCGCCCGUGCCUCCUCUCACACAGGCUCCACAGUGCUUCACCCAGCCCUGCGCACGCAUCUGUUUUCUACCUCUUAGGACUCACUUCUGCAAUAGGUGUCUUGGGGACACAAAGGAAUCCCCAAACCCAGGUGCCUCCACGUGUAAACUCCAAAUAAAGCUGCUGAAACAUCAACACUCCAUACGGGAAACAAGGGAAGGCCGCCCCCAAAUUUAAUUGUUACAGAAUUUUUAAAAUGUCGAUUACAAACACACCAUCAUUCUGAAAAAAAGAGAAAGAAGAAAGGGGAAGAAAGAAAAAAGAAAAAUUCAGGAAAACAGAGAGAAGAAAGUACUCACCCAAAUCCCAUCGACUAAUCGAUUUCUGGGACAUGACGUGGGAAGCCGUUUAUCCUGUACGUGGAUGACAUUAAACUAUGUUCCUGAGCACA
Molecule: long non-coding RNA, 630 nt
Organism: Homo sapiens (human)
Lineage: Eukaryota; Metazoa; Chordata; Mammalia; Primates; Hominidae
Gene: SDAD1P1
Product: SDA1 domain containing 1 pseudogene 1
Source: Ensembl